Molecule: ribosomal RNA, 513 nt
Filed under: uncultured bacterium
Lineage: Bacteria
Description: partial 16S ribosomal RNA
Rfam family: Bacterial small subunit ribosomal RNA
Source: RNAcentral
GACGAACGCUGGCGGCAUGCCUAAUACAUGCAAGUCGAGCGAACAGAUGAAGUGCUUGCACUUCUGACGUUAGCGGCGAACGGGUGAGUAACACGUAAGGAAUCUACCUAUAAGCGGGGGAUAACAUUCGGAAACGGGUGCUAAUACCGCAUAAUAUCUUCUUCCGCAUGGAAGGAGAUUGAAAGACGGCUCUGCUGUCACUUAUAGAUGACCUUGCGGUGCAUUAGUUAGUUGGUGGGGUAACGGCCUACCAAGACGAUGAUGCAUAGCCGACCUGAGAGUGGGGUCGGACACAUUGGGACUGGGACACGGCCCAAACUCCUACGGGAGGCAGCAGUAGGGAAUCUUCCGCAGUGGGCGAAAGCCUGACGGAGCAAUGCCGCGUGAGUGAAGAAGGCCUUCGGGUCGUAAAACUCUGUUAUAAGAGAAGAACAAAUUGUAGAGUAACUGCUACAGUCUUGACGGUAUCUUAUCAGAAAGCCACGGCUAACUACGUGCCAGCCGCCGCGGUAA